This 467-nucleotide ribosomal RNA is filed under the name uncultured bacterium. RNAcentral describes it as "partial 16S ribosomal RNA". It matches the Rfam family "Bacterial small subunit ribosomal RNA", at positions 29 to 507 of the family's 1533-position model. The record is from RNAcentral.
ACGAACGCUGGCGGCGUGCUUAACACCUGCAAGUCGAACGGAAAGGCCCUGCUUUUGUGGGGUGCUCGAGUGGCGAACGGGUGAGUAACACGUGAGUAACCUGCCCUUGACUUUGGGAUAACUUCAGGAAACUGGGGCUAAUACCGGAUAGGAGCUCCUGCUGCAUGGUGGGGGUUGGAAAGUUUCGGCGGUUGGGGAUGGACUCGCGGCUUAUCAGCUUGUUGGUGGGGUAGUGGCUUACCAAGGCUUUGACGGGUAGCCGGCCUGAGAGGGUGACCGGCCACAUUGGGACUGAGAUACGGCCCAGACUCCUACGGGAGGCAGCAGUGGGGAAUAUUGCACAAUGGGCGGGAGCCUGAUGCAGCAACGCCGCGUGCGGGAUGACGGCCUUCGGGUUGUAAACCGCUUUCGCCUGCGACGAAGCGUGAGUGACGGUAAUGGGUAAAGAAGCACCGGCUAACUACGUG